CCUACGGGAGGCAGCAGUGGGGAAUAUUGCGCAAUGGGCGAAAGCCUGACGCAGCGACGCCGCGUGAGGGAUGAAGGUCUUCGGAUCGUAAACCUCUGUCAGCAGGGAAGAACGGUCACUGUGCUAAUCAGCAGUGAAUUGACGGUACCUGCAAAGGAAGCACCGGCUAACUCCGUGCCAGCAGCCGCGGUCAUACGGAGGGUGCCAGCGUUAAUCGGAAUUACUGGGCGUAAAGCGCUCGUAGGCGGUAUGUCAAGUCAAGUGUGAAAUCCCCGCGCUCAACGUGGGAACUGCCUUUGAAACUGGCAGACUGGAGUGUGUGAGAGGAUAGUGGAAUUCCAGGUGUAGGAGUGAAAUCCGUAGAUAUCUGGAGGAACAUCAGUGGCGAAGGCGACUAUCUGGCACAUAACUGACGCUGAGGAGCGAAAGCGUGGGUAGCAAACAGGAUUAGAUACCCCAGUAGUC
RNAcentral lists this ribosomal RNA (465 nucleotides) under uncultured bacterium. RNAcentral describes it as "partial 16S ribosomal RNA". It matches the Rfam family "Bacterial small subunit ribosomal RNA", at positions 338 to 795 of the family's 1533-position model. The record is from RNAcentral.